GGCAGGAAUCCAGUGAGUACUUGUUGCGAGCCAUACGGCGGCGGCAGCGUCCCGAAGCUGUCAAAUAUUGCGCACACCCUCCAGUCGGCAGUCAGUGGAGUAACUCAGGCUAAUCCAUCAGACAAACAACUCGGAAGAUUAACCUUUUUUUAUACUAACGAGUUUUUCCCGGCGUGAUCGGAAGCUUCUCCUGAAAUCUUGAUAAGUGUUUCCUUUUUUUCUAUUGUCACAUGGCUUAGAAGAAUUCAAUAACAACAAAAAAUGGCGACAAUCACGUUGCUCUGUGUGGUCUUGCUGCGUCAUAAAAAAUAUUCAUGUAAACACGGGGAAAUAAGCGAGCGGGUUGUAGUUGUUGCACAUGUUGCUGUUGCUGCCCACGUCUGACACGAAGCGUUUUGGCCAGAGCCCUGUGCUGCGGAGCUAAUGGAGUUGUUUACAUGAAGUGCGGGAGGGCGGACCAAAGACGAAGGGAGGCGGAGCCACGACGUGGGCCAGCGCCGCUCACCGAAAGCUCGAGACGCUUCUCGCGCCAGGAAGGGGUGGAGCUCGAGACGAGAAUCAUAACAAGUCUGACGUCACUCAGCCUUGUAGUUGGUAUGAAUAAUACACAUUAGUUUUGUCUGCUGAAGCGGAGACAGGAGGGUGGGGAAACAGAAAUAUUCUUGUCUGUGUUAUUUAUUUAUGUUUUACAUGAAAUAGAUUUAAUGAGGCUUAUGUGCACCAGCAGGACAUGAAACUGCGUUUACACGCCUUUACAUUAGCAAUAAAACAUGGCGCUGGUGGUAUACGGGUUAAGCACCAUAUACGGAGGCUACAGUCUUUGAAGCGGCCGUCCGGGGUUCGAGGCCCGGACCCGGCGGUAUUGGCCUAAUGUCUCCCCCUUUCUCUACCCCUCUUUCCUGACUGCCUACUGUCAAAAAAUAAUGGCAUCUAGUCCCGAAAGAAUAUUUGAAAAAUCUGCUGCUGGGGCAGGACAAGGAAUGGACAAGCUUUAAUUGUUUUUAUAUAGUCUUCCAUAGUGCCAUCUAUUAAACGUCUGUAGUUAAUUACUAGCCCCACCCUCAAAUGAUACCAGGAUGUAAUGUUUAGGUUGACAUUUUAUCAAGUUGCAAUAGUUUAAAAUUGUGGACAUACAGUUUUACAGGGGAUAAGUAACAAUCUUCUAACAAAGAAGUAAAAUAUGACAAAAUCAUUAAAAGCUUACAGUAUGUUAUUAUACAUACUACAUUCUAAGCAUAUCAAAAAGACUUGUUCAAGUGAAAAAUAUUUGUAAUUUAUUUUCAAAAUUAAGGAAUAACUUUAAAAAGUUUUAAAUUUUUGUUAUUUUAUAAUUUUGUUAUAAAAUAACAAUUAUUUUUCUCCUUCAUAGUGCCUUGAUUGAAUGUGUGUCACUCACUCCUGGCCCCACCUUCAUUUAAUACCUGUAUCAUCCAUAGUUUGGGUGAACAUAAGGAAAGGUAAAAUUUUGCAGGAGCUGAAAAAACAUUUUAUGAAAACAAUUGCCACAAUAAAUUAGUUGAUUUUUGAAAUGAAUGCACAGAACAUCAUUACCUUACAGCCUAUUAGGUUAUUUUAAAAAAUCAUUGGGAAGAUCGUGAUUAUUUGUUUUUUCACUUUAUUCGAUUCAACCUUUGAGUUCUUCCAAAGCAACAUAACAUCUGGCAACCCUGUACAACAACUUUCUAGAGAUACCCUUGAAUAAAUGUCCUGCUUUAAAACAGAAAUUAUCCUAGUUAUAAAUCUAGUUUUACAGAAGAUGCAGAAAUUUAUUGUUUUUAUAUUUCAUUACAAAAUCCUGACAAAUAACUUGCAGUUACUUUUAAUCUGAGAAAGUUCACACACGUGGCUGAAUGUUGUAUUAAUGAACCCCUGCCCCCUUUGGGGUGCCAUUGAUAUAAAGAGAGACAUUUUAAUGAUAUUUAAAAAAAAGAAAGAACUGAAUGUAGAAAUUGUUGUGAUGUAAAUGGAUGUAUAUAAAUAUGUACACCUGGAAUUUGUUACAGACACUACCACUUGGAUGUGGAGCAAAACCCAUCAGUACAUUGAUUAUUGGUUUAAUUAUGAUCUUUUUUACAUCUUGUUAAAUUUGCUGUAUGUUUCUGCUUUAACUUGAUGUACUUCGGUUGUUUCUGUUCCAGAAUAAAAUAAAUAAACAAAUAUUAUUGUUGUGCAAUGUGCCAACCUGCAGCCCGGACAUAACGUGAGGAUGACAAAAGGAGUGAAGCCACCAAUGCUCCCAGACUUGACAGGCUGCCCUGGUUCAGUUAUCACAGUGCUGAUGCUGUCUCCAUCGAAGGUACAGUACUGUGAUAACUGAAGGAUGGCUGCCAACUUGUCACUGGUGCCAGGAUCAGCAGGUGGAGAGCUGUAAAUAUAUAAAGAUUUGUGAAUGAAAUUAAAUUUUUCUAACAGGAUCAGGGCAGUCUCUGUGUUUUUAUUGGGUGCCCUACCUUGAGAAGUUUUUUUUCUGCCCACAAAUUACAAUAGAUAUAUAGCUAUCUACACAUCAAGUUUAAGUUUUUUUUUUUUGUAAUUAUCCACUUGAAAAUAAGUUCUCCAAAACAAUCGUUUUGUGGUUUUUUUCUUAAAAGUUUCAAAUAAAAACAGCAUAAUGUCUACAUAUGUAUGUAUAAACUUAUUACAGUCAUUCAGCUAGACCAAAAGAAGGCAUGUGCUUACAGCUUCUUGUUGUAUCGCCUGAAGUGCUUGAGGUCAAGGGUUAGGUUGGAGGUGGGGCUAUAUUAUUUUCAAAAAGAUGCAUACUCGUUGUCAACAUAAAAAAGGACCAGUUUACAGGUCUAUUUUAAGGUUGUUGUUUUUCAUAUGAAAAAAAGAUCCACAGUUAUACAAUAUGCUUAGAUGAAUAUUAAAACAUAGAAUUAAGUAAUAAUUGUCUUCUCAAUGAUUCUCUUUGUGGAGCAAAUUUGUGUUUUCCUAGGAACAAACAAACAAAUAUCAUAAACAUCUCAUCAAUAUUUGAUUUAUCAAAUGUCAAAAAAGAAAAUACCUUUCAUGCUUUAACAUAAAGUAUGAUUUCAUCCAGCAGCUAUUUUGCUAUUGUUAUUUAUUUAUUUGUAUUUGUGGCUUGCUUACUUGUGUCACCUGAUGUUCAGGUGACACAAGUAAGCAAUAAAUUUUCUUACUUGUAAAUUUGUAUAAAUUAUAUAUAAAUAUACAAAACAGACCAGAAAAGCCUGUUUUUCUGACGACUCUGCCCCAAAAAAGCUCUCGUUGUUUUGCAUAGCUGUCAACAGGGGGAGCUAUAGAUUCGUAUACUUUGUGUUGAAUUCUGUUACACUGAUUUGUCUUUAAAUGUUUAUGAAAUUUUAGUGACCAAAUAUUUGUAUAUGGGUCAUUUAUAUAAUGAAAAAUCAUUGUUAUUAUCAUUUUUUCUCUUAAGGUAUAUGUAUAGUUUGCAGCUCCACUCAGCACUGCCACACAAGUAAUUUUCUACUAAUCACCGUGUCAGAAAAACCAAAUCACAGUAUAUUUUUCUCACAUUUUAAAGGAUGGAAAAUAUUUUUUUAAACUCAUCUGAGUCAUGUUUUUCAACUGAAGGUUACUCUGCACCUGUCCUUAGCUGUAUGUUUCACUUAAAGGGUACACGGUGCUUAUAGGCUGUGGAAAUCCCCUCAGGAGUCAUGAUAAAUGUUUUGUUUUUGUCUCACACUAACUCCCGUCAGCUAAUCGUGCUCUGAGCCACAUGUUUUUCUCACUCAGACUCAUGUGAUAACUUGAUACUUUGCGGUGGAGAACAGUUUUUGACAGCUAAACCUAAAAGUCAAGUGGAUUUUAUACUUGUGCGGAGAGUUAUUAUCUCCAAAACGAGAUUCACCACACAUGCCUUUCAUGAUGGUAUGCUACAUUACUAUUAGCUUCUUAAAGGUCAACUUGCCAUCAGUGUCCAGGAUCAUUUUUGGGGGGAUUUUUCUUCUUUACACUUCCCUUCAUAAAAGGCAACGAGUGACUGCUGAGUGGAUGUGGGCAGUCCCUCUCUGACAAAAAGCAGCCCCCUGUUAUCUUAUGAGGAACUUUCAGGACCUUGUUCUUUCGAUCCAGGAAGAAAAGUAGAUUAUUCAUUUACCACAUGUGCAUUCCCUACAUGUUGCUGGAAGUGGACGCCAAAUGACUCAUAUGAAGUUAUCUGCAGAAGUGAUGUCAUCUGGUGGGUUGUUUCACUUUGACUAAAAGGGGGAGGGGAGAGACAGACAGACAGAAAGCAAAAAGAAAACAAACCAAAAAUUGGACCUAAUUUAUUCUGCCUUUCAUCAACCUUUCAUCAACCAAACCAUUAUAUAGAUGACUAUGCAAAACUGUUCAUUCCCCUCAAAUGCUUCCCCAUUUUGUCCUGUUACAACCAAAAAGUUGUAACAGGACAACUUUAUGGUUGUAAAAGUUUAACAUAUUUUAUGUCAUAAACCAGCAUAAAGUGAUGCCUAAGUUUUCUUCCAGGAUUCCGCUGGUUUCUCAUCCAUCUUCCCAUCAACUAUGCAGCUUCCCUGUCCCUGAUGAAGAGAUACACCCUCACAUCAUGGAAGGAAGUCAUUGGGCUGCAGCGCAACCAGCUGACCAUCAGAAAGAGAAGCCAUACAGACUCCCAAGUAAAUCAGUCUGUCACAAGGCUAAGACACAACCAUCAAACUCCAACUCAUUAAGAAUCACUGAUUAGUCUGAUAUAGAGGAUUUUUUUACUAGAAAAACUGUUGAAAACACAUGUAGGAACAGAUGAGUCAAACUGCUCACAGAGAAGCAGCCAAUAAUUUUUCUAAUUUUCUAUUUGUUUGAAUCCCUUAUCUACAAAAUAUUAGAUUUUUGGCGAUAAUGUCACCAACAUUUGACUUGCUGACUUUUGAGUUUUUAAAAGAGAACCAAUCUUCAUUUUUACACCUCUGUGCCUCAUUAAUUAUACCAUUUUUUAUUUCCUGUAACCUAAAAGUGACCUUUUAAAAUAUGCACUCAAUGAAUCAAACUGUGCCUCUGGCACAGAUCAAGGCAGAAUGUUUUUGUAAUUAAUGUAAUUUAAGCAAAUAUAAAGAGGAAAACAAUUCUAUUUUAUCCAAAUCGGGAUAUUGGUUCUGUCAUGUGACUUGCCAAAGUUAUAUGAAUUUAUAAUAUACAUAUUCAUAGCUUUGCAAAUGCAAAAAAACAAAGGUAAAAGGGACAUUAUCUCGUGACAUCUGGAAACACAUUAAAAAAAGUUUUAUAUAUUAAACCCUAAAAGGUCUUUCCUAAUGACUGCCACUCAUGUAAUGGCAAAGAUGAAUAACAACACCCAAUUACUUCAGUUAUAUCUGUGCAAAAGUUCACUGCAGUAAAUUUUCUUUAUUUGUUACAUUUUUGGUUAGUUUCAUUGCUUGGAUCUAUGUGGUCAUCCAUUACAUCACCUGGAAAAUCAGUUUUCUUUUUAAUCUUUAUACAUAUUGUUGUUUAUUAAAUAUUAAUUUAUAUGAAAUUCAAAUGCAAAACUAUGAAUACAUACUAGAGUCUAAAGUCAAGGUUUUUCUUCUGUAUCUUACAUUGCAAGCUAAAUUUCCUGAGAGUAUUCAAGAAUAUUUUGUUGCUCUUCGUUCUUCAGGCAGUUAUAGAGAUGACUACCUGAGGAAAAAAGGUAUGUUCCCUUUGCUAUUGAUGAUAUGGGACUGAAGGUCAGGUGAAGGAGCAAGGCAAAUUACAGUAAAUCAGUAAAUACACAAGUGGAGAUUAAAACUUUUGGACCUUUUUUGUAAUUCCGUCAGCCCAAAGAAGAUUUGAUGGUGAAAUAAUUUUUCAGGGUGAUGAUGAUGCAUUUUUGUCACCAGGCAAAGUUAAAUGACAUGGCCAGCACACAGUACAGAUUUAAAUCACGUUGAAAACCCAGGCUGGAAUUAGAGUAUGGGUCAAAGUAGCAAAAAUUAACUUGAAAUAAAUGGAAGAUGUAAAAUACUGAACAUGGUAAAACUGAGUGCCGUAAAAAGCAACAUGUGAUUAUUUCGUCUCUGUGAAAAUUAGUAUCCGUCAAUUUGUAGGUCAUUAAAAUGAUAACAUUGUAAAUAUUAAUGUUAUAAAUACUAAAGUUUACGUUGCCUGUUUUCAUUAUCUGCCUUAAUUUUAGCGACUCCAAUUUUACUGCUUCAGUUCAUCUUGUUCACAGUAUCAUGUUUUAUUACUUCCUAUAGACCAGAAUACAGCAGUAGGACCGGCGCGACAGCGGAGUUGUAGUCCGAGACCCACAAUUUCCCAUGAUUCAUUCUGGGUCGAAUAGGAUUGGUCGAGCUCGGGCAGCAAUGGUGGACGAUAGUGGCAAAAAUUGUGUAUAAAAAUAUAAAUAAUACGCGUUGUGUGACACCAAAUAAACGUUUAAGAUGCUUUCAAGUGAGAAUGUAGGUCUGUUUAACUCAGAUACCUACUCGGUUUAUUAAGACUCCACUUAAUAAAAAAAAAAAGAGAUUCACAAAAAUUAAACUAUGAAUGCGAUGAAUCUUAAAACUCAAGUGGUAAAAAUGGAGGCACUAAAAUCAAGGCAAUGAAUGAAAACAGGCAACGUUAAAUUUGAUUACCUUGAUAUUUACCAUGUUAUCAUUUUAAUGACCUCCUAAUUCACGGAUUUUAAUUUUCACAGAGGCGAAAUUAAUCACAUGUUGGUUUUUACAGCACUCAAUUUAACCAUGUUCAGUAUUUCACACCUUUAAUUAAUGUCAAGUACAUUUUUGUUACUUUGACCCCUCAUAUUAGAGAUGGUAUGGUUAUCGGUAUCAAUGAAUCCCAAGCUUCUAAAAACGUAAAAUAAAUAAAUAAAUACAAAUAUCCCUUUAUAUCACUCAUACGUUUAGUCAUUUAAUAAGAUGCCAGAGAAAGGGCCGGGGUUAACAGAGUUUAUAUCAGUUUUAUCAAACACAAAGUAGCUCUUCCCCUCCCCCACACGUUUCUGCACACAGCCAGCCACCUGGAUGUAGGAAGAGUGAUGAAGUUUUUCCUGCUUAGAAGAGAUGCUAAUGCAGUCCAAAUAUUUCUUAUCGCAAAAAUCAGGAGCUCCGCCCAUGACAUGACCCCUGUUAAGGUAAGGCUGUUUUAAAGCUACAGUUGGGAAGCUACAGGUAUCACGUCUUUCAGAGAGCCCAACUAAUUAACUUUGCUAAAAUUAGCUUGUUUGAAUUUAUAAAGAGCAUGAUGUUGAAAAUGUGUUAUAUUCUUUGAAAGAAGUAAAAGGUAUGUUUAGUAAAGCCAUAAUGUUCAGCUUUUGUGAAGUGCCUUGAGACAACAAGUGUUGAGAAUUGGCGCUAUAUAAAUAAACUGAAUUGAAAACUGAA
Molecule: long non-coding RNA, 7286 nt
Organism: Girardinichthys multiradiatus
Lineage: Eukaryota; Metazoa; Chordata; Actinopteri; Cyprinodontiformes; Goodeidae
Exons: 3
Source: RefSeq, a predicted model, not a curated record